CCGGAGUGGACGCAUCACUGGUGUUCGGGUUGUCAUGCCAAUGGCACUGCCCGGUAGCUAAAUGCGGAAGAGAUAAGUGCUGAAAGCAUCUAAGCACGAAACUUGCCCCGAGAUGAGUUCUCCCUGACCCUUUAAGGGUCCUGAAGGAACGUUGAAGACGACGACGUUGAUAGGCCGGGUGUGUAAGCGCAGCGAUGCGUUGAGCUAACCGGUACUAAUGAACCGUGAGGCUUAACCUUACAACGCCGAAGGUGUUU
RNAcentral lists this ribosomal RNA (257 nucleotides) under Escherichia coli. Its description in RNAcentral is "partial 23S ribosomal RNA". It matches the Rfam family "Bacterial large subunit ribosomal RNA", at positions 2692 to 2925 of the family's 2925-position model. The record is from RNAcentral. Lineage: Bacteria; Pseudomonadati; Pseudomonadota; Gammaproteobacteria; Enterobacterales; Enterobacteriaceae.